RNAcentral lists this transfer RNA (66 nucleotides) under Cleridae sp. 2 KM-2017. Its description in RNAcentral is "tRNA-Trp". The record is from RNAcentral. Lineage: Eukaryota; Metazoa; Arthropoda; Insecta; Coleoptera; Cleridae.
AAGGAUUUAAGUUAAGCGGCAAACUAUCAACCUUCAAAGCUGAAAAUAGACUCUAUCUAAGCCUUA